UGGGGAAUAUUGGACAAUGGGCGCAAGCCUGAUCCAGCCAUGCCGCGUGAGUGAUGAAGGCCCUAGGGUUGUAAAGCUCUUUCACCGGUGAAGAUAAUGACGGUAACCGGAGAAGAAGCCCCGGCUAACUUCGUGCCAGCAGCCGCGGUAAUACGAAGGGGGCUAGCGUUGUUCGGAAUUACUGGGCGUAAAGCGCACGUAGGCGGGUAUUUAAGUCAGGGGUGAAAUCCCGGAGCUCAACUCCGGAACUGCCUUUGAUACUGGGUACCCAGAGUAUGGAAGAGGUGAGUGGAAUUCCGAGUGUAGAGGUGAAAUUCGUAGAUAUUCGGAGAAACACCAGUGGCGAAGGCGGCUCACUGGUCCAUUACUGACGCUGAGGUACGAAAGCGUGGGGAGCAAACA
This 402-nucleotide ribosomal RNA is filed under the name uncultured bacterium. Its description in RNAcentral is "bacterial SSU rRNA". It matches the Rfam family "Bacterial small subunit ribosomal RNA", at positions 355 to 774 of the family's 1533-position model. The record is from RNAcentral.